This 292-nucleotide ribosomal RNA is filed under the name uncultured bacterium. RNAcentral describes it as "partial 16S ribosomal RNA". It matches the Rfam family "Bacterial small subunit ribosomal RNA", at positions 29 to 353 of the family's 1533-position model. The record is from RNAcentral.
AACGAACGCUGGCGGCAGGCCUAACACAUGCAAGUCGAACGCCCCGCAAGGGGAGUGGCAGACGGGUGAGUAACGCGUGGGAACCUACCCUACGGUCGGGAAUAGCCCAGGGAAACUUGGGGUAAUACCGGAUACGCCUAACGGGAAAGAUUAUCGCCGUUGGAUGGGCCCGCGUCGGAUUAGCUAGUUGGUGAGGUAACGGCUCACCAAGGCGACGAUCCGUAGCUGGUCUGAGAGGAUGAUCAGCCACACUGGGACUGAGACACGGCCCAGACUCCUACGGGAGGCAGCA